RNAcentral lists this unclassified non-coding RNA (440 nucleotides) under Eurytemora carolleeae. RNAcentral describes it as "neuropeptide-like protein 32". Lineage: Eukaryota; Metazoa; Arthropoda; Copepoda; Calanoida; Temoridae. The record is from RNAcentral.
AGUAAAUAAUCAAAAAUAAAUUGUAUUGAAUUAAUAUAAUUUGUAAUACAUUAGAGAACAAUUGUCAACAGUUUUUAUUCUCCAGUUAGCAAACCCUCAGGAUGAAAACUUUUGAACUUAUAGUUCUCCUGGUUAUAUGUUCAGCUGCUCUUACCUCUGGGAAGAAAUACCUAAUACAUACCCAACAUGAUUCCCAGCCACCCCCGCCUAUGAUGAAACCUGGGAAUGGAACUGGGAAUGGAACAACUGGAGAGGAUUACUGGUGGGGGGGAUGGGGGAAUAGGGGUGGUUGGGGUUGGGGGAGAAGAGGAUGGGGAUGGGGCAGAAGAUAAAAUUAUUAUUUUGGUGAAAAAUUAGAACUCGUUCAUUAAUAUCUAUAGUAAUUAUUAUAAAUUAAAUUAUAUUAAUAAAAUUACGAUUAUGUACAGAAUAAAAAUUUA